Molecule: long non-coding RNA, 1159 nt
Organism: Mus musculus (house mouse)
Lineage: Eukaryota; Metazoa; Chordata; Mammalia; Rodentia; Muridae
Product: predicted gene, 39799
Exons: 3
Source: RefSeq, a predicted model, not a curated record
GGUUGGGCUGAGGACUGAAGCCACGCCCUGCAUGCGCUAGCUCCUGCCUCUGCUCCUGAUUCCAGUGUGGAGCGGAGUGUGGGCUUACAUCAACCGGACAAAUAACUGCUCCUGGAGGAAUUCCACACCUGAGCAGAACAGAGGUGCAGCAUCCAAUGGAUGACUCCAGCUGUGCCUGGGGCAUAGGAACUGAAGAGUUGAGGGGUACUGCAGAACCCACGUGGAUUUGAGCUGUUUCCUGCCUCUGAACUAGAAAGCUUACACCUCUGAUUGGCCCUAGAAGCCUAAGGGGGCAGUGAAGAAACCUGAGUGAAAAGACCUUUGGGUAUAGGAAAAUUGCUGAACCUUUCUGAUCAGUGGGGUAAUCUCUUUUCUCUUGCAGCCCCCUCUUUUUAGGUGGGUUUAACAAAGGCCAUUGCUUAGUUCCCUGACUUCAAAGCCCUAGCAGCCAAACAGGGAAGGGAGGCCUUGGAUUUCCAUUCUCAGGGAAGGCAGGAACUGAGGUCCUCUACCCAGCCCGGCCCACCUCUUCUGGUCAACAGUGGUAGAAGGCUCAGGUUUCUCCUUGUUCUCAGAGGAGGCAUUAAGGGUAAAGGAAUGCAGACUCUGCCUAAAACUGUGUUAAGAGGCUUUGCAGAGCAAGUCUGGGGAGAGCCCUCCAACCCCAACCAGCUGCAGCCCAGCCCAGCCCCCAAUGGGGAGGAAGAGAAAGAAACCAGUGUGCAAGCUGGAGGUCUUCUUGAAUGUGCUUCAAAAGGUGCCACUCUCGGUUUCUCUCAAGAAGACAUCAAGGUGGAGCUAUCCCCAAGCCUGUGGCUGGAGAUCUGGGUCCAAGGCUAGCACAUACUUAACUUGGCCAGUGGCCUUGGAAAGUCAUCGCUUGUUUUCAACCUCCUGAUGUGCAUCAAGGUCCAGCUCAAAGAUGUCUUUGAUCCUCCUGCAGUCGAGCAUAGAUCCCCUUUGUUCUCCAUCCACAUCCUGUUUCUCCUUUUGAAACUUAAUGAGGUUUGUAAUUGCCUGUGUUGUUGGCUUGAUUUUUAUCUGUCUCUAAUCUCAAACAUAACCUUCCUAAGGACUGGGCCUUGAGUGUCUUGCCUGCCACUUAACCUCCCUGUAGGCAGCACAGGGUCCCUGUGAAUGAAUGAAUGAAUGAAUGAAC